Molecule: non-coding RNA, 408 nt
Organism: Cinara cedri
Lineage: Eukaryota; Metazoa; Arthropoda; Insecta; Hemiptera; Aphididae
Source: the annotation of a GenBank genome assembly
UGUGAGCGGUGGUCAGAAGUUAAAAUCGUCUAAAAGCACAUUAUCGACGGGCGCACAUUCAAUAAAAUCACAACUGAUUUGCGCAAAUUUUUACGACUCUGCGUACAAUAUAUUUCCGGUGCAAUCGCUCGUUUGCGCAUACAUUUUUCUUCCCGAUUAUACAGACUUAGGACCGUCAGUGAAUAUUUUAACUUUUCGGGUGUGGUUAAAAAUGUACUUUUGGUGUGCUAUGUGUAUAAAAAUAUUUAUGAUUAAUAAUAUUACACGGUACAAUAAAAUAGUGGGAAAGCAGUCAUUUGAAUUUGUCAUUUAUUUUAACUACUUCAAACGUUCACCUUCGAAGCGGUUCAUGAAUUGUUCAUGCAGACACGUGUACGGUGCACCUAUUCAAUUAUUUGUAUAUUAUUU